GUCGUUACCUUUUUGGUGGUUUUCUUCUCGUACUGCAGGUAUCGGGACUCAACCACUCUUCCACCUGUGGGGGACACGUUGUUGGUUUAUAACAAAACUACAACAGUGGAGUGUGAGAACUGGCCCAGCCCCCCGCCCCUGCCAUGGAGAGUCCGGGGUGGAUUCUCCACAGAAGCAGUAUUGUGACGAAGGAUAUAAUUUGCGUUCAAGAACCAGACCACGUGUAAACAUAAUAAACGUUAGAGACGAGAUCAUCGAGCAGCACUGUAGCGUAUGAACCUCCAGUCCCUUGGAACUGGAAUCCUGCUCUAACUCUGCACUGGCCCACAGCACACUUAGAGGAAAACAGUUCACUGUAUCAGAGGCUUGAGCUCCGACGAGGGGGAUCCUCCAGUCUACUGCCCCAAGUGGCACGGACUGCCAAGAGUCAAGGGAGGCUGUGAGCAGUGACUGCAGACCCACACGGGGACCCCAGAUGUGGGCACGCCCCCGAGGCGCUUACAGAGAAGCAACGGAGACUCCCGGGUUCAAUAACAAGUUCGGCUCAUGCUCUCCUCACCCACACUUCCUAGUGGCGAGUCCUGCGCACAGCCCGUGACGCGCCCCCCCCCCCCCCCCCACGGCUGGAAGGGCCCGCUGCCCUGGAUGAUGUCCGCCGGGACCUGCCGGACCCCUGGCUGCAGGCCUGGGUGACCAGAUUCAGCAUCACACGAAGGUGUGUGUGAAAUAAAGUCCUAGCUUCCCUGC
Molecule: long non-coding RNA, 747 nt
Organism: Felis catus (domestic cat)
Lineage: Eukaryota; Metazoa; Chordata; Mammalia; Carnivora; Felidae
Exons: 2
Source: RefSeq, a predicted model, not a curated record